Molecule: ribosomal RNA, 90 nt
Filed under: Paragonimus westermani
Lineage: Eukaryota; Metazoa; Platyhelminthes; Trematoda; Plagiorchiida; Troglotrematidae
Description: partial 5.8S ribosomal RNA
Source: RNAcentral
UAUGAGUACAACUCUGUACGGUGGAUCACUCGGCUCAGUGCAGACAACUGCAUACUGCUUUGAACAUCGACAUCUUGAACGCACAUUGAA